This 416-nucleotide ribosomal RNA is filed under the name uncultured prokaryote. Its description in RNAcentral is "bacterial SSU rRNA". It matches the Rfam family "Bacterial small subunit ribosomal RNA", at positions 505 to 918 of the family's 1533-position model. The record is from RNAcentral.
GUGUCAGCCGCCGCGGUAAUACGUAGGUGGCAAGCGUUGUCCGGAUUUAUUGGGCGUAAAGAGCGCGUAGGCGGCUUGUCAAGUCCGGGGUGAAAUCUCCCGGCCCAACUGGGAGGGGUCCUCGGAUACUGGCAGGCUCAGAGGGGAGCAGAGGAGAGUGGAAUUCCCGGUGUAGUGGUGGAAUGCGUAGAUAUCGGGAGGAACACCAGUGGCGAAGGCGGCUCUCUGGGCUCUACCUGACGCUGAGGCGCGAAAGCGUGGGGAGCGAACCGGAUUAGAUACCCGGGUAGUCCACGCCGUAAACGUUGGACACUAGGUGUAGGGGGUAUCGACCCCCUCUGUGCCGAAGCUAACGCUUUAAGUGUCCCGCCUGGGGAGUACGGCCGCAAGGCUAAAACUCAAAUGAAUUGACGGGG